Molecule: non-coding RNA, 125 nt
Organism: Ceratotherium simum simum (southern white rhinoceros)
Lineage: Eukaryota; Metazoa; Chordata; Mammalia; Perissodactyla; Rhinocerotidae
Source: RefSeq, a predicted model, not a curated record
AAAAAUUAGGAUUUUUUUUCUCAUUUGGUUUGCCUCCCAAAAUUCUUGUUUUAUUUUUACUAUACCAUGCUGCUUCUCAGACAUGACUGACUGCCCUUUCUUCCAUGAAGAAGAAGAAGAUUGGC